RNAcentral lists this ribosomal RNA (520 nucleotides) under Bacillus cereus. RNAcentral describes it as "bacterial SSU rRNA". It matches the Rfam family "Bacterial small subunit ribosomal RNA", at positions 947 to 1478 of the family's 1533-position model. The record is from RNAcentral. Lineage: Bacteria; Bacillati; Bacillota; Bacilli; Caryophanales; Bacillaceae.
GAAUUAAUAAGAAACAGAAAAAAUACAGAAAUAAUCACAAUAUCAUGAGAAUGAGAGUAUUAAUAGAGAACAAAGAUAAAGUUGGUAAAAGUAGUAGUAAAAUUAUGUCAUGAAACGAUGGGUAAAAUACCGCAACGAGCGCAACAAUUGAUCUUAGUUGCCAUCAUUUAUUUGGGCACUAUAAGGUGACUGCCGGUGACAAACCGGAGGAAGGUGGGGAUGACGUCAAAUCAUCAUGCCCCUUAUGACCUGGGCUACACACGUGCUACAAUGGACGGUACAAAGAGUUGCAAGACCGCGAGGUGGAGCUAAUCUCAUAAAACCGUUCUCAGUUCGGAUUGUAGGCUGCAACUCGCCUACAUGAAGCUGGAAUCGCUAGUAAUCGCGGAUCAGCAUGCCGCGGGAAUACGUUCCCGGGCCUUGUACACACCGUCUAAGCACACCACGAGAGUUUGUAACACCCGAAGUCGGUGGGGUAACCUUUUGAGCCAUUAAAAAAAAAGGGGUGUUAGGUGGUUUG